GACGAACGCUGGCGGCGUGCUUAACACAUGCAAGUCGAACGGAAAGGCCCUGCUUUUGUGGGGUGCUCGAGUGGCGAACGGGUGAGUAACACGUGAGUAACCUGCCCUUGACUUUGGGAUAACUUCAGGAAACUGGGGCUAAUACCGGAUAGGAGCUCCUGCUGCAUGGUGGGGGUUGGAAAGUUUCGGCGGUUGGGGAUGGACUCGCGGGUUAUCAGCUUGUUGGUGGGGUAGUGGCUUACCAAGGCUUUGACGGGUAGCCGGCCUGCGAGGGUGACCGGCCACAUUGGGACUGAGAGACGGCCCAGACUCCUACAGGAGGCAGCAGUGGGGAAUAUUGCACAAUGAGCGGAAGCCUGAUGCAGCAACGCCGCGUGCGGGAUGACGGCCUUCGGGUUGUAAACCGCUUUCGCCUGUGACGAAGCGUGAGUGACGGUAAUGGGUAAAGAAGCACCGGCUAACUACGUG
RNAcentral lists this ribosomal RNA (468 nucleotides) under uncultured bacterium. RNAcentral's name for it is "partial 16S ribosomal RNA". It matches the Rfam family "Bacterial small subunit ribosomal RNA", at positions 28 to 507 of the family's 1533-position model. The record is from RNAcentral.